CCCUGGUAUAUCCAGGACAUCAGCACAUAGAACCAGUGAAAGGGUCCUCCCUCAUAGUGACGCAUGUCAUAGACUCAGAUUUAUACAAACAAAUGCUGAGCAAACCAUGAAGAGUCUCUGGUAUUUUCAACAAUAUCAUCACAGAGGAACUGUAUUGAUUUCCUUGCACGUUCAGGGUACUGGGAGAGGCAACAGGGAUGGAGGUCCCAUGUCAGGGGACUUCACAGUGUGACGGGAAUGUUCAACCUGCACCUGUUCCUUGCACCAUACUCCAUCCAGCUCUCCGCUCUUCCAGUCAUUUAUGCUCCUGUCUUCCGUGGAGGAAGUCUGGUAGUAUCUCCCCGGGACACUGGCUCAAAUUUCCAGCCACCUGCCCAAGACAGAUGGGACCAGGGGCCAGAUGAUGUGGACAAUGAUGAUGUCACAAAGAGAACCACAGUGAGUCUCUGAGACCUAGUUUUGGCAGAAGGAAGUACCAGAGGGAGCUGAGCUGUUGAACAUUAUGUGCGAUCAUGUAAUAACUGCAAUCGGAAGGGAAACACUCAGAGUCCUGGAGAAAGAGAAAUUCGCAUUUGUGGACGCCUGCUGGGAGCUAGGCACUUUCGAAUAGUUCCUGUCACCUAACUUAAGUAUCAUUACUCAAGUACUAAUUAACUUAGGUAUUAUGCAGAGAAGUCGAAUAAUUAGAAAAGUGGCAUGACUUAUACAAGGCAACAUAACAGCUAGAAUUUAAAUGUAAAACUGCCCGAUUCCAAAUCCACACUCUUUCUACUACAAGGCCUUGCCCCCUUCUCUGGGCCACACCAACAUCGCAGUUGCAGGCGAAGAGGCCAUGUCUAAUGACUGCCCCCUUUACAUGCCAACCUAGUCAUGGUCAUGGUGGUGUGAUAUCUAAAAACAAAAUGGAACCACCAUGAAAAAUUUGUCUCUGAGGACCCAGAGUAGUAAAAUCCCAGGAUAAGGAAGGCCUUUAGCGGAUAUAUGGCCUGCUGUCCCGUUCAGUCUAGAAAACGCCUCCUCAGGGUCCCUGCAGAUGGUCACCUCCCUCUGCAGGAGGACGUCCAGUGGGAGGAGAGCCACUUCCCCAGGUCUCCCUGACACUAAUGUCAGAAGGUGCUUUCUUAGGUUGAAUCAAAAUCUCUCUCCCUGUGUCUUCUCUUUGCUUCCUGUUCUUUUCUCUGGAGCAACAUGAUGUAAAUAAGUUUAUUUUCUUUUGUGCACAUCAGAAUUUCAUAUUCAAAGGACAUCAUCAGCUCUCUUGUUAGAAGGGGUCCAGGCUGAACACCCUCUUUUCUCUCAAUGAUCCCAGCUAUGACACAGUUUUCUGAUCUUCAACAUCCUGGAGGCCCAAGACUAUUCAAAUAUGUCACAAAUAUCUCUAAUCACAUCUUGUGAUUAUGACUUGGAUAGAAGAUAAACAUUAUUUCCAUAAUGAUGAACAUAAGACAUUUGAGAUUUUUUU
Long non-coding RNA from Homo sapiens (human), 1462 nucleotides. Ensembl annotates it as long intergenic non-protein coding RNA 1255. The record is from Ensembl. Lineage: Eukaryota; Metazoa; Chordata; Mammalia; Primates; Hominidae.